UAUCGUGGCGGUGUGCGGUCAAACUGUCCUGUACGACACCACGUUGGUGUCGUACAGGGACAGAAUUAAAAAGGAGCAGGCGUGGGUCGUCGGGCCAGGAGACGGGGAUUCCUGAUCAGCUGUCGGGAAAUGAAUCGGAGCCUGUCUAUGUUCCUGCUGCUGCUGCUGCUCCUGCUACUCCUGCCCCUGCCCCUGUCCCUGCCGCUGGCCCUGCCCCUGCCCCAAGACCACCGAGCGGGAUGAGGAGGAAGAGAGCCAGCGGGGUACCAGAUGGGAACACCCAGAUACAAGAGGCCAUCCUCCAGGCCCUGCAGAGGGAUGGGGAGUUGUGUGCAGACGCACAGUUUUUAAACGGCUUCCUUCCCUGAAGAGAUUGCCACCAGACGCAAAGGAGUAUGUGAAAUUCCAAAUUCACGAGGUCAUAUUUGACGCCACCCAAUUCACCCUUAAUUUGGAACCCGUCUAAUCAUGCUCCUGCUUAUUAGCAAGAGUGGUGGUGACAAUCUCUCCAGGGAAAGAACUGGGCUGCUGUGACUAAUAAAGAAGCUGUUUGUGAGAAAGGUAGUUAGUUAGGUAAAUCCUUUCUCACAAACAGCUUAUUUUUUAGGAAGAUGUUAAUGUUCUU
Molecule: long non-coding RNA, 625 nt
Organism: Gadus chalcogrammus (walleye pollock)
Lineage: Eukaryota; Metazoa; Chordata; Actinopteri; Gadiformes; Gadidae
Exons: 3
Source: RefSeq, a predicted model, not a curated record